GCCUAGUGGUUAGAGGAGGCAGGUAGCCUAGUGGUUAGAGGAGGCAGGUAGCCUAGUGGUUAGAGGAGACAGGUAGCCUAGUGGUUAGAGGAGGCAGGUAGCCUAGUGGUUAGAGGAGGCAGGUAGCCUAGUGGUUAGAGGAGGCAGGUAGCCUAGUGGUUAGAGGAGGCAGGCAGCCUAGUGGUUAGAGGAGGCAGGUAGCCUAGUGGUUAGAGGAGACAGGUAGCCUAGUGGUUAGAGGAGGCAGGUAGCCUAGUGGUUAGAGGAGGCAGGUAGCCUAGUGGUUAGAGGAGGCAGGUAGCCUAGUGGUUAGAGGAGGCAGGUAGCCUAGUGGUUAGAGGAGGCAGGUAGCCUAGUGGUUAGAGGAGGCAGGUAGCCUAGUGGUUAGAGGAGGCAGGUAGCCUAGUGUGUAGAGGUGGCAGGUAGCCUAGUGGUUAGAGUGUAGAGGAGGCAGGUAGCCUAGUGGUUAGAGUGUAGAGGCGGCAGGUAGCCUAGUGGUUAGAGUGUAGAGGCGGCAGGUAGCUUAGUGUUUAGAGUGUAGAGGCGGCAGGUAGCCUAGUGGUUAGAGUGUAGAGGUGGCAGGUAGCCUAGUGGUUAGAGUGUAGAGGUGGCAGGGUAGCCUAGUGGUUAGAGUGUAGAGGUGGCAGGUAGCCUAGUGGUUAGAGUGUAGAGGUGGC
Long non-coding RNA from Oncorhynchus tshawytscha (Chinook salmon), 677 nucleotides. NCBI's taxonomy places the organism in Eukaryota, Metazoa, Chordata, Actinopteri, Salmoniformes, Salmonidae. The record is from Ensembl.